AUCGCUUCUCGGCCUUUUGGCUAAGAUCAAGUGUAAAGAAAAGACAAAACAUGAUUACAUUUUUUAAAUAAAAUACUUCUUAAGAUACCAACAUUUUUAAAAAUUUAUUUAUUUUAUGUAUGCGCGUACAGUGUAACUGUCUUCAGACACACCAGAAGAGGGCAUCGGAU
Rattus norvegicus (Norway rat) is the source of this 170-nucleotide small nuclear RNA. Ensembl annotates it as U2 spliceosomal RNA. The record is from Ensembl. Lineage: Eukaryota; Metazoa; Chordata; Mammalia; Rodentia; Muridae.